AGUGAGGUCAGGACAAGGCUAACAGCGCA
This 29-nucleotide non-coding RNA is filed under the name Homo sapiens (human). Lineage: Eukaryota; Metazoa; Chordata; Mammalia; Primates; Hominidae. The record is from RNAcentral.